GUAGAAAUCUGAGGCUCACUUCAUAUACCAGCAAGGGAGUUAGCUUCAAGAAAGCACUGAGUCCCAGUCAUUGACAUUAUGGAUUGGGUGUGGAACUUGCUAUUUUUCAUGGCAGCAACCCAAAGUGUCCAAGCAGAGAUACAGUUGGUGCAGUCUGGACCAGAGCUGAAGCAGCCUGGUGAUACUGUGAAGAUAUCCUGCAAGGCUUCUGGAUAUACCUUCACAAGCUAUGCAAUUAAUUGGGUGAAACAGGCUCCUGGAAAGGGUUUAGUGUAUAUGGGCUGGAUCAACACCAAUACUGGGAAGCCAACAUAUGCUGAAAACUUCAAGGAACGGUUUGCCUUCUCUUUGGAAACCUCUGCCAGCACUGCAUAUUUGCAGAUCAGCAGCCUGAAAAAUGAGGACACUGCUAUGUAUUACUGUGCAAGACACAAUGUGAAAACCACAUCCUGAGUAUGUCAGAAAACA
Molecule: non-coding RNA, 468 nt
Organism: Apodemus sylvaticus (European woodmouse)
Lineage: Eukaryota; Metazoa; Chordata; Mammalia; Rodentia; Muridae
Source: the annotation of a RefSeq genome assembly